This is a long non-coding RNA of Hermetia illucens (black soldier fly), 402 nucleotides long. RefSeq lists it as uncharacterized. The record is from RefSeq and is a predicted model, not a curated record. The transcript has 2 exons. Lineage: Eukaryota; Metazoa; Arthropoda; Insecta; Diptera; Stratiomyidae.
UUCUUUAGUUUUGAUGAUUCUUUUACAAAUAGUGUAAGUGUUUUCACUUGUGCGUGGGCCACCUAUCUUCACGUAUAGGAGAUUGUUCCUAAAUUCGAAAUGAGGGCUCCGUUCUUGUUUCUGUUAGUUCUGGUUCUCAUGUGUCUCAUCGGCACUGCUACGGCAUGCAUCCAAAAAUAUGGACCGUGUAUUCAAUAUCCCUGCUGCAGAGGGCUAACCUGCUUUACGAUAUGCAUAUAGCAUUGAAGAACUGCUGAAAAAGGACUUUUUCACAAUCAACAUGAUUAAGUGAACUGUGGUUUUACGAGAAAUAGCAAAUGCUGCGUGUUUGUCUAUAUUUCAGGCUUUUGAGCUUCUGUUCUUAAAGUACAUUAUGAUUAAUAAAAAAAAUUCUUCAGAGUA